Globicephala melas (long-finned pilot whale) is the source of this 891-nucleotide non-coding RNA. Lineage: Eukaryota; Metazoa; Chordata; Mammalia; Artiodactyla; Delphinidae. The record is from RefSeq and is a predicted model, not a curated record.
GUUUGUGUGCGUGUUUUUUUAAGUGUUUCGCCCAGCUCCUCCUUCCCCUACUACAAACAGCAAACACAUGAGUGAGCUAAUCAGCUCUUAAACUGAAAAACCUUUCGAUACAGGCGAGUGAUAGAAGAUAAAGCUGAGGGGCGGCAGGAGGGUCAAAUAAAAGUUGCUCCGCAGUUUGCUCAUCCAAGCCCCGCAGCGACCGCAGGGGGGUGAGGUUCCCAAAGCCGCUUUCACACCUUCGAUAAUGCACUAGCAAAGAGAAGCCCGGAGAGGCUGAAGUUUCCACGGAGGGCACCGUCGGGGAGACGCAGCCCGGGAGGACAGAAAGGUUGGGCUCGCUACCUCUGCACACGGGCGAGCCGGGGCUCCGUCGCUCAGGAAAAGAAGAUGUCCUUAAUAAGCAGAUUUGACCGAGAACUCUUACUUCAAUGGUGGAAAAUUUCUGGGAAAGAGGAGGAAGAGGCUAAAAAUAUUUUAAAGUCCUCUAGGUGAGAGGACAGAUGUUUCGACAAACCAUGAUCAGAUGUGAUGCUCUGGGAUCAACUAAUUAAGAGAUCUUAAACUUAAAUAAUCCAAAGCAGAGUUUCCAUUAGCAGCACUGGGAAAAGCUUAGCAUUUAGGAAGUCACUCCUGCCUGCCAUACCCUGAUUUUCAGCAGAUCACCUGUUCUCCUGAUACCUAGGCACCUAUUUGCAUAGCAAGAGUGGAAGUUACUAUUUAUCCUCAGCGGUGUACAUAAUCACAUUGACUUAUUCGGUUUUACCCCAAAAGGACUCAUUGAGUUUCACUUACCUCCAAAGUCUCAUUGCCUUCGAUGUCUGAAGUUUUGCCUCUUGCUGCCACUCUUUGCUCAUGAGGUGUAUCUCCUAUGAAGCAAAAGAAAAAAAUAAA